This 483-nucleotide ribosomal RNA is filed under the name uncultured bacterium. RNAcentral's name for it is "bacterial SSU rRNA". It matches the Rfam family "Bacterial small subunit ribosomal RNA", at positions 34 to 518 of the family's 1533-position model. The record is from RNAcentral.
CGCUGGCGGCGUGCUUAACACAUGCAAGUCGAACGAGGCACCUUGCAGAAGUUUCGGAUGGAAGCGGAGGCGACCGAGUGGCGGACGGGUGAGUACGCGUGGGGAACCUGCCCCAUUCCGGGGGAUACCAGUUGGAAACGACUGUUAAUACCGCAUAAGCGCACGGAAGGACAUCCUUUUGUGUGAAAAAACUGAGGUGGAAUGGGAUGGCCCCGCGUCUGAUUAGCCAGUUGGCAGGGUAACGGCCUACCAAAGCGACGAUCAGUAGCCGGCCUGAGAGGGCGACCGGCCACAUUGGGACUGAGACACGGCCCAAACUCCUACGGGGGGCAGCAGUGGGGAAUAUUGCACAAUGGGGGAAACCCUGAUGCAGCCGAUGCCGCGUGAGUGAAGAAGUAUUUCGGUAUGUAAAGCUCUAUCAGCAGGGAAGAAGAUGACGGUACCUGCACAAGAAGCCCCGGCUAACUACGUGCCAGCCGCCGC